GAUAACUCAGUUGGUGGAGCAUGAGACUCUUAAUAUCAGGGUCAUGGGUUCGAGCCCCAUGUUUAUCA
Podarcis lilfordi (Lilford's wall lizard) is the source of this 68-nucleotide non-coding RNA. The record is from the annotation of a GenBank genome assembly. NCBI's taxonomy places the organism in Eukaryota, Metazoa, Chordata, Lepidosauria, Squamata, Lacertidae.